Molecule: unclassified non-coding RNA, 352 nt
Filed under: Hevea brasiliensis (rubber tree)
Lineage: Eukaryota; Viridiplantae; Streptophyta; Magnoliopsida; Malpighiales; Euphorbiaceae
Source: RNAcentral
UGAUGAUAAACGGGGAGUUCUGGGUGGUGAGUGGGUUUGGGGCUGAGACGAACGGGAGAUUUGUAGGGAGUGCGGAGGUGUACGAGACAAGGACUGGCCGGUGGCGGAAGGAGGAGGGGGUGUGGCCGGAGGGGAGAAGGCCGAGAGGGAGCGCCGGAGUUGGAGGGAAUGGGAGGCUGGUUUCCUGGGCGGAGGAGGUGGCGGAAGUGAGGGUGGGAACUUGUGGUGUGAGGAUGGGGGAGAAGGUGAUGGUGUCGGGGAUGGCGUCUACGUUUCCCGGAGCUCCGGUGGAAUUUUACAUGCUGACAAAUGGCGGGGAGGGUGGAGUGGAGCGUGUGGAUCCGCCGGCCGA